RNAcentral lists this ribosomal RNA (253 nucleotides) under uncultured bacterium. RNAcentral describes it as "partial 16S ribosomal RNA". It matches the Rfam family "Bacterial small subunit ribosomal RNA", at positions 524 to 776 of the family's 1533-position model. The record is from RNAcentral.
UACGAAGGGGGCUAGCGUUGUUCGGAAUUACUGGGCGUAAAGGGCGCGUAGGCUGUGCUGUAAGUCAGGUGUGAAAGCCCCGGGCUCAACCUGGGAAUUGCAUUCGAGACUGCGUAGCUAGGGUGCGGAAGAGGGAAGCGGAAUUUCCGGUGUAGCGGUGAAAUGCGUAGAUAUCGGAAGGAACACCAGUGGCGAAAGCGGCUUCCUGGUCCAGCACCGACGUUCAGGCACGAAAGCGUGGGGAGCAAACAGG